This 448-nucleotide ribosomal RNA is filed under the name uncultured bacterium. RNAcentral's name for it is "bacterial SSU rRNA". It matches the Rfam family "Bacterial small subunit ribosomal RNA", at positions 329 to 793 of the family's 1533-position model. The record is from RNAcentral.
CGCCAGACUCCUACGGGAGGCAGCAGUGGGGGAUAUUGCACAAUGGGGGAAACCCUGAUGCAGCGACGCCGCGUGAGCGAUGAAGUAUUUCGGUAUGUAAAGCUCUCUCAGCAGGGAAGAAAAUGACGGUACCUGACUAAGAAGCCCUGGCUAACUACGUGCCAGCAGCCGCGGUAAUACGUAGGGGGCAAGCGUUAUCCGGAUUUACUGGGUGUAAAGGGAGCGUAGACGGUCCUGCAAGCCAGAUGUGAAAGCCCGGGGCUCAACCCCGGGACUGCAUUUGGAACUGUAAGGCUAGAGUGUCGGAGAGGCAGGCGGAAUUCCUAGUGUAGCGGUGAAAUGCGUAGAUAUUAGGAGGAACACCAGUGGCGAAGGCGGCCUGCUGGACGAUGACUGACGUUGAGGCUCGAAAGCGUGGGGAGCAAACAGGAUUAGAUACCCCAGUAAG